RNAcentral lists this ribosomal RNA (115 nucleotides) under Parasphingorhabdus halotolerans. Lineage: Bacteria; Pseudomonadati; Pseudomonadota; Alphaproteobacteria; Sphingomonadales; Sphingorhabdaceae. The record is from RNAcentral.
CUUGGUGGCCAUAGCACCUGUGCCCCACCCGAUCCCAUCUCGAACUCGGCCGUGAAACCAGGUAGCGCCGAUGGUACUUUGUCUUAAGGCAUGGAAGAGUAGGUCGUCGCCAGGC